CCUUAAAAUGAUUGAAACCAAUAACAAAAAAAUGAGUUAAUUCCAUAUCAAAACUCUUAGAUUCUUACCCUAAACCUUCAUAAAAAUAGCCAAAAUAAAAAACAGCUCCCCCAAUUUGAGCAAUCAACAUUUGGAAACAUAGAAAUCAAACACAAACCAAAACCAAAGAAGCCGAUAUUCUUUACGAAUUUAGCAUAACAAAAUAAUAAAUUG
Molecule: long non-coding RNA, 213 nt
Filed under: Trifolium pratense (red clover)
Lineage: Eukaryota; Viridiplantae; Streptophyta; Magnoliopsida; Fabales; Fabaceae
Description: long non-coding RNA (TPRA_LNC010693)
Source: RNAcentral